Salarias fasciatus (jewelled blenny) is the source of this 1123-nucleotide long non-coding RNA. RefSeq lists it as uncharacterized. The transcript has 2 exons. Lineage: Eukaryota; Metazoa; Chordata; Actinopteri; Blenniiformes; Blenniidae. The record is from RefSeq and is a predicted model, not a curated record.
ACUUAGCGAAGAUGGCUUACAUGAGGCCCCCGAGCAGCAGCGCUGCUGCCGGCGAUGAACAGCGCGGCCCAUCCAAAGGCUUUGUGGUGAGGGAGGCUCCCUGGACUAACACCAAUGAGAAGGCUCCUGACAUGAGCAGCUCUGAAGACUUCCCGAGCUUCGUAGCCCCUGUGGCCGCAAAGGCCUCACCCUGGGGACCAAAGCGCUUCUAAGCCGUGCUGCUUAUUACGUCGGCCUGAACCCGAAUCGGACACAAUCUUCCCUCUACCCAAGUCAUUUCCCCCCCUUGCCUCCCUCCCUCCCUCCCUCCCAGCCACUCCACCUCUGACUGGACUGACCGCUGACCCCUUUCUCUUCAUUCCUCUUGAUCAGCCCUCCCACAUUCAUCCGUCUCAAAGUGCUGUCGGAUACUGUAAUUGACUCGUGAGCUUUGUGUCCUGCAUUAUAUAAGAAUAAGGUUUCAUAAGGAGGACAAAACUAGGCAGGUGCAGUGGUGAAGUCAGUCUGUGAAAGACUGUGUGUAGACGUUGCUUAAAGCUAACAUUUCAUUGUGGGUCGAACUGUCAAAUCAAAUUCAGCGGUGGCCAGACUUCGAUGUGUUUCUUUGAGCUGCCCUUCUCUUAGUUGCCUUCGCAGGUCGGGCUGAAGGGGUUGAAUUAGCGCCGGCGACGUACUGAGACACACCGGCGGUUGUUCGAGCAUCCCUCCUCCCACCUGCUUUUAUCCAUGUAGCCAAGUGAAAACUGUCUGGUCAUUGAACCCUUCCCUUUCAAGCACAGUGUAGUGGUUGUCCUCCGUCGGCGUCCUUCCGUUUGCUUCUGACUGUGCUUGUGAGAACAUGGGUGAGUAGCGGCAUGUACCUUGUAGCCUUAUGAAUGGGGCAUAACUACAAAACGGGGCGUGGGGAUCGGAGGGACGUGUUCAGCCACUUGCAGAGAGGCACCUGCUCUAACUGCCAGAUGCUCGGAGAUCGCGCCAAAACUUGAAGAGAAAAAAACGGGAGGAAGAAGAAAACAAGGAAAUUGAAAAAAAAAAAAAAAAAAGAAACUCUUACAACACUAGGCCUAGAGCUCCAGUGCAUCACAGCCUCACACUAACUGUUCAAUGGACUGUUUUCCACAUA